ACACUACUGAGGAGUCCCACAAUAGGAUGAAACGGUCGUCUAGUGA
Molecule: non-coding RNA, 46 nt
Filed under: Schistosoma mattheei
Lineage: Eukaryota; Metazoa; Platyhelminthes; Trematoda; Strigeidida; Schistosomatidae
Source: RNAcentral